Cavia aperea (Brazilian guinea pig) is the source of this 88-nucleotide microRNA precursor. Ensembl annotates it as microRNA 29a. Lineage: Eukaryota; Metazoa; Chordata; Mammalia; Rodentia; Caviidae. The record is from Ensembl.
ACCCCUUAGAGGAUGACUGAUUUCUUUUGGUGUUCAGAGUCAAUAUAAUUUUCUAGCACCAUCUGAAAUCGGUUAUAAUGAUUGGGGA